Molecule: transfer RNA, 88 nt
Filed under: Bacteroidales bacterium
Lineage: Bacteria; Pseudomonadati; Bacteroidota; Bacteroidia; Bacteroidales
Description: tRNA-Ser
Rfam family: tRNA
About the family: Transfer RNA (tRNA) molecules are approximately 80 nucleotides in length. Their secondary structure includes four short double-helical elements and three loops (D, anti-codon, and T loops).
Source: RNAcentral
GGAGAGAUGGCAGAGUGGUCGAUUGCGGCGGUCUUGAAAACCGUUGGGGUGCGAGCCCCCGGGGGUUCGAAUCCCUCUCUCUCCGCCA